This 255-nucleotide ribosomal RNA is filed under the name uncultured bacterium. RNAcentral's name for it is "partial 16S ribosomal RNA". It matches the Rfam family "Bacterial small subunit ribosomal RNA", at positions 524 to 777 of the family's 1533-position model. The record is from RNAcentral.
UACGGAGGGGGCUAGCGUUGUUCGGAAUUACUGGGCGUAAAGCGCACGUAGGCGGCUUUGUAAGUUAGAGGUGAAAGCCCAGGGCUUAACCCUGGAAUUGCCUUUAAGACUGCAUCGCUAGAAUUGUGGAGAGGUAAGUGGAAUUCCGAGUGUAGAGGUGAAAUUCGUAGAUAUUCGGAAGAACACCAGUGGCGAAGGCGGCUCACUGGCCCGGUACGUGACGCUGAGGUGCGAAAGCGUGGGGAGCAAAGCAGG